GACAUAGGUGGCGAACGUUAUCCGGAUUUAUUGGGCGUAAAGGAUGCGUAGAUGGUGGAAUAAGUUAUUGGUCAAAGUCAAGCUCAACUUGGCGGAAGCUGGUAAUACUAUUCUACUUGAGGAUAGGAGAGGUUGGCGGAAUUCUGUGUGGAGCGGUGAAAUGCGUAGAUAUCGAGAGGAACACCUGCGGCGAAGGCGGGUUGCUGGGCCGACACUGACGCUGAUGCGCGAAAGCCAGGGGAGCGAACGGG
RNAcentral lists this ribosomal RNA (251 nucleotides) under uncultured bacterium. RNAcentral describes it as "partial 16S ribosomal RNA". It matches the Rfam family "Bacterial small subunit ribosomal RNA", at positions 524 to 776 of the family's 1533-position model. The record is from RNAcentral.